This is a long non-coding RNA of Octopus bimaculoides (California two-spot octopus), 998 nucleotides long. Lineage: Eukaryota; Metazoa; Mollusca; Cephalopoda; Octopoda; Octopodidae. The record is from RefSeq and is a predicted model, not a curated record.
UUAGUUUCAGUUUGUGGGACAGACAGAAUGUCUCUCUCUCUCUCUCUCUCUCUCUCUCUCUUACUAUAUAUAUAUAUAUAUAUAUAUAUAUAUAUAUAUAUAUAUAUAUAUAGCAAUAAGAAAAUGGAGGGGAAUAUGUGGUAUUCAUCAACUUGCAGACAUUGUAUUAUGUCAAUUUACCUGUUUAUUUUUCAACUAAGAGGACAAUAAAAACCAUAUAGAAACACAUGUGACAUAUUAUGUCAUAUCAGUAAUUAAAAAGGACAUCUAGUGAUCGAAGAUGGGACAAUGUCUUACAGCUGUAAGCGAAAGCAAGAGCGACCAUGAGAUGGAGAAUAGGAAGCUGGACAUAGUCUUAAUUGAGAAAGAAGACAAACUAUGCUGGAUCAUAGAUACAGCAUGCCAGUGGUUCGGCUAAAAAGACAGAUAGAAUAUAUGAGAAUUUUUAUCAUUAAUUACGACCAUUGCUUCAACACAUCUUCUAGCAUCGAUCCUUCACGGGUGGGACACUCAACAACUGAUUCAGGAGCAUCCGGUGGUGCAGAUAUAUCUCAUCGAGUGAUAAAUAGAUACAAUACAUUAAAAUAAAGUUUCUGCAAUGUAUCCGCUCAUUUUAGUGAAAGGAAAAGCCGUAAAACGAAGGAAAUAUCUUCUGUAACAUAGACGAUCGGAAAUAAAAUGGCUGAUGGAAAAAUCCAACGAACAAGCAAUACAACGAAAAAAAUAUUAAAAAUAACCGUUAACAGAUACGGAUGUAUGGACAUAACUGUUUGGAAUGAGUUAUAGCAAUCAAUAUUUUCAGAAGAACAUUGUCUUAAUACUCAUCUCAGUGGUUAUAAUUGUGCGUAUGCAUGUAUGUAUAUGUUUAAGUACAUAUAUGCAUACGCACGUGAGUGUGCGUGAGUGCAUUUCGUGUGCAUAUGUUGCAUUAUCUUUUAUGUGAAAUAUAAACCUUGAGAAAUAAAAAAAAUAUUAGAACAUUUCCAUUAUUAAUGAAA